GCUCCAGACUCCUACGGGAGGCAGCAGUGGGGAAUAUUGCACAAUGGGGGAAACCCUGAUGCAGCGACGCCGCGUGAGUGAAGAAGUAUUUCGGUAUGUAAAGCUCUAUCAGCAGGGAAGAUAAUGACGGUACCUGACUAAGAAGCCCCGGCUAACUACGUGCCAGCAGCCGCGGUAAUACGUAGGGGGCAAGCGUUAUCCGGAUUUACUGGGUGUAAAGGGUGCGUAGGUGGCAUGGCAAGUCAGAAGUGAAAGCCCGGGGCUCAACCCCGCGGACUGCUUUUGAAACUGUCAGGCUGGAGUACAGGAGAGGUAAGCGGAAUUCCUAGUGUAGCGGUGAAAUGCGUAGAUAUUAGGAGGAACACCAGUGGCGAAGGCGGCUUACCGGACUGUAACUGACACUGAGGCACGAAAGCGUGGGGGGCAAACAGGAUUAGAUACCCUAGUA
Molecule: ribosomal RNA, 448 nt
Filed under: uncultured bacterium
Lineage: Bacteria
Description: bacterial SSU rRNA
Rfam family: Bacterial small subunit ribosomal RNA
Source: RNAcentral